Molecule: long non-coding RNA, 4032 nt
Filed under: Sus scrofa (pig)
Lineage: Eukaryota; Metazoa; Chordata; Mammalia; Artiodactyla; Suidae
Description: lncRNA (ENSSSCG00005031267.1)
Source: RNAcentral
UUUUUUUUUUUUUUUCGGGCCACACCCAUGACAUAUGGAAAUUCCCAGGCCGGGGGUCAAGCUGGAGCUGCAGCUGCCUGCCUACACCACAGCCACAGCAACACGGGAUCUGAGCCGCAUCUGCGACUUACACCACAGCUCACAGCAACGCCAGAUCCUUAACCCACUGAGCAAGGCCAGGGAUGGAACUUUCAUCCUCAUGGAUACUAGUCAGGUUCAUUACCACUGAGCCACAGUGGGAACUCCUUGGAAUUCUUAAUUUAUUAUCUAGAGGCCUGCGUUUUCAUCUUGCACUGGGCCUUUACAGGUUAUGCCGCUGGUCCUGCUGGUGGAUUAGAGAUCAUGCUGGAGCUGGACCCUCUUUGAGGGCUGGCCCCAUGGCGUGGUAACCGAGCAUCACUGAGCUAGACAGAACAGCGUCCAGUGGGCAGGCCAGCGCAGGCCCGCACCUCCGCAAAUGGAGACCUUUGGAGGGCCAGGGAAGGGGCACCCCAGAACAGUGCCUCAGGGGGGCCUAGGACAGACUAACGGGCUGGCCAGGGCUGGGGAGGGGAGGAGAGAGGCCAGCUGUCUUCAGGACCUCGGCCUCUCCAAAGAAACCACCGCCGCCACCACCCAACGGCCGGGGGCUGGGUGGGUGCAGGGUGCUCAGCUGUGCCAGCCUGUCCCAGGGUCUCCGUGUAAUUAGAGCCAGGCCCUUCACUUGGCUUUCCGGAUUGGCUGAGAGAGAGGAGGAGAGCCAAGAGGAGUUGAUUCGGAAGCCCUGGCCUGGCCCGGAAGCGCCCGCUCAGAGAGGAGGCCUGGGGAGGAACCGAAGCCAGACAUUCAUUCCUCGGAGGCCACUGUCCCCCAGGAGACAGGUGCUGGCACCAAGCGGAGCUGCAGAAGGAAUGCAGAGCCCAGGGCAGGACGGGGAGAGACUUUCUCAGGCCCAACAUGUACCAGGAAGACGGUGAUGGGGAGGGAGAAUGUUCUAGAGCCCUGGGGGGCAAACCCAGGGGUCUGGUCCACGGUGUGUGUCCUGAGAGUUUUCUGAUUUACACCAGAAUCUGGAGAAGGGCAGCAGUCAGACCACUGGGGUGGCCUCUUAACUGCGCAGUCCUUCUCCGGUUUGGCCUUCCUGGGCCCCGCCGACAGAGCCCAGGGCAACCGCUAGCACGUCGGAUAAUCCGACGGCCCUGCCAAGAUGAGCAGCUUACAUUUUCUCAAUCAAUUCCACUGGCCUGUUUUGUGGUCGGGAGGAUGGACGGCUGAAUCCUAGUGCACAGGGGGUGCUGGGAGGGUUGAAACGUGUUAAUACACACAGGACCCUCAGAACGGAGCCCGGGGGGGGGGGUGGCCUCCUAUAAAUCGUGCCUGUUACCCAAUCUCAGGGCCUCCAAAAGCAGGGGGACAUCUCUGUAGUCAGAAUGCAUCUUCCUACAGAUGAAAUGGCCACAUUUUUUCUUCCUGAGCAGCACAUAAAACAAUGGUGCUUCUUAUAAGCGAUGUCUUAGGUUCAACCGAAUAUGGGAUGAUGACAAUAAUGACACUUGUGACUGGACGUCUCCAGUGCAUUUUUAUUGGCAACGCCUCCUUCCAUGUGAGCUGAGGUCUGGCAUGCUCUCGAGUGCCCGAUUCAUGUGGAAACAGGCCUGGAAGCCCCAGAGGGCAGGAGCUUGGGGAGGUUGCUCUUGGGGCAUAAACACGAAGUCAUGGGCAGAGGCUGUGACAGCCUGGCAGAGCCCUAGGCAGGGGUGUCAGGAGGACGGUGGACGCUCAGUCCCCUAACCCACGUAACGCGGAAGGUAUAUGCUUUCUCUCAGGCUUGUCUGGAAGGCCCAACAAUCCACGACUGGCUCGCAGCAAAGGCUCGGUCCGCAGGACCUCUUGUUAUCAGGCCCCGACUCCAAAGCUAGCUGUCUGGGAGAUAAGCUGCUGUGUGUCUGGGGCUGAGAGCUGGGGUAGCAGAGGGGAGCCAGAGCUGAAUGUCCGGGGAGGGGGUCUAGGAGCUGACUCUCAGCCCUGCAAAGGGCUAUGCAAACUCCCCACUCCAGGAGACCCUGGGGCUUAAGGGAGAAAAGGUGAGAAGCUGGCCCCUCUUCCAAAUUUACACCCCAGGGGCUGAUUGGCUGAUUCCAUUUAUUUAUUUAUUUAUUUAUUUAGGCCGUGCCUGGGACAUGCAUAAGUUCCUGGGUCAGGGAUCGAACCCUGAGCCACAGCAGUGACAACGCCAGAUCCUUAACCAGCUGGUCAGCUGCUGAUCUUGAUUGCCCCUCCCCCUAGCAAAGGCCCUACGUGCUCUGGGGCUCUACCCAGAUUCCUGGACCCCAGCCCUUCUACGGCUCUCCCUACUCCCAAUUCGGCUGAUGAGACCACAGUCGGAGCUCAGACGGAGCUGAGAAAGUGGGUUCAGAGAGAUGGCAGUCCUGCCAGAGGCAGGUGAAGAGCAAGGUGAAGAGCAAAAUGCCAACACCUGCCACGGAGUGGAGCCAGCAAAAGGCACCUGAAAUCCCAAGCUCCCAAGCCCUGCAGUUGAGGACACCUCCCUGGGUCCCUUGGCCCACGUCCUCCUCUUAUAAAACGGGUAGCCCUUUGUAAUCAGACCUUCGUGGUUCUAGGAGCUGUCCUACAGUUCUAGCUCACCUGCUGACCCUUAGGGAGACUCUGGGGCUUGGGACCGGAGGGAGGUCUGGGGAGGAAGCCACACACCCCAAAGGCAUGUGGUCAUCACACGUGUGGACAGGUGUGAACAGACAGGACAGUCACUGUGCCUUUGUUUCCUGCCCUCGUCCUGAAGCUUGCAGACCUCCUGCAGGCAGGUUGAUGCCAGAGAGCAUGCGUGUUGAGGAGGGUAAGCACCCGGGGUGGGGGGGGGGGCAUGGCCGGGAGCCCCUGGGACAGGCGGCCAAGCACCCCUGACCUCAGUGGUUAGGGCGCCGCUAAGGUGUGCAUUUGCCGCCCGCAGCUGCUGCUUGGCAACGGAGGGGAUGAAAACAAAGCCCCAGUGGAGGGUCUGAUGCAUCUAACAGCCCCGGAGAGAGAAGCUAGGUUGGGAAAGUAGCUCAACUGUGCGUGUGGCGACACCUUGAUUACGCAGGGAGAAAACCUGAUGGAGCUUAUGCGAACGUGACUAGAGCCAAUCACUGAGUCUGGCCAAGUCUCCGGGCGCAAGAUCAAGACAUCAAAAUCCACGAUGUUCUCAUUUUUGUUUGGUUUUUGUCUUUUUUUUCAGGCCACACCUGUAGCAUAUUGAAAGCUCCCAAUCAGAGCCGGAGCGCCAGCCUACACCACAACCACAGCAUCCGAGGUCCGAGCCGCAUCCGCGACCUACGGGGCAACUUUUGGCCACGCUGGAUCUUUAGUCCACUGAGCGAGGCCAGGAAUCGAACCUGCAUCCUCACGGAUUCUUAACCCACUGAGCCACAUUGGAACCUCCCACUGUGUUCUUAUAUCCUGCGGACAAGCCACUGGAAGCUAUUUUAAAAAGCACUUACAAUGGCAUAACAAAUAUGAACUGUUUAGGAAUAGAUCUGUGCUCUGAAACCCACAACAUGUGGCUGAGAAGGAAUCAAAGACCUGAAGAAUGGCGUGAAGAUAGCCCAUUUCAUGGGCCAGAAAACCCAAUGGAUCAGAUACCAACGCUCUUCAACUCGAUCUAGACUAUCUGCAAUCCCAACCAGAAGUCCCAGGGGGACUUUUUCUUUUUAAUCUGAUUCUCAAAUCCAUAUGCAAUGUAAAGGAAAAUACAAAACUCCUGCAGCAAUGGAAAAGGCCAAAACAGCUCUGAAAAAGAACAAAGUCAGAGAACUAACACCACCUGGUUUCGAGACUUAUUACAAAGCAACAGUAACCAACACAAUGUGCUCUUGGAAUAAAGACAGACAAAUAGAUCAAUGCAACAGAACGGUGUCCAGAAAUAGAGCCACACAUAUAGGGACAACGGAUUUUUCAACAAAGGUGUAGAGGUAAUUCAGGCGUGAAAGGAAAGUUUUUUUAAAAAAAGAUUCCAGAACAAUUGGAUAUUCAUUUAAAAAAAAAAAAAAAAAAAAA